AGUGGCGGACGGGUGAGUAACGCGUGAGAAUCUGCCUUGGGGUCGGGGACAACCACUGGAAACGGUGGCUAAUACCUGAUAAGCCGAUUGGUGAAAGAUUUAUUGCCCGAAGAGGAGCUCGCGUCUGAUUAGCUAGUUGGUGAGGUAAGAGCUCACCAAGGCAGCGAUCAGUAGCUGGUCUGAGAGGACGAUCAGCCACACUGGGACUGAGACACGGCCCAGACUCCUACGGGAGGCAGCAGUGGGGAAUUUUCCGCAAUGGGCGAAAGCCUGACGGAGCAAGACCGCGUGAGGGAGGAAGGCUCUUGGGUUGUAAACCUCUUUUCUCAGGGAAGAAGCUCUGACGGUACCUGAGGAAUCAGCCUCGGCUAACUCCGUGCCAGCAGCCGCGGUAAUACGGAGGAGGCAAGCGUUAUCCGGAAUUAUUGGGCGUAAAGCGUCCGCAGGUGGCGAUUCAAGUCUGCUGUCAAAGCACGGGGCUUAACUCCGUAAAGGCAGUGGAAACUGAAUAGCUAGAGUGCCGUAGGGGUAGAGGGAAUUCCCGGUGUAGCGGUGAAAUGCGUAGAGAUCGGGAAGAACAUCGGUGGCGAAAGCGCUCUACUGGACGGCAACUGACACUCAGGGACGAAAGCUAGGGGAGCGAAUGGGAUUAGAUACCCC
Molecule: ribosomal RNA, 660 nt
Filed under: uncultured bacterium
Lineage: Bacteria
Description: bacterial SSU rRNA
Rfam family: Bacterial small subunit ribosomal RNA
Source: RNAcentral